UGAACGCUGGCGGCGUGCCUAAUACAUGCAAGUCGAGCGAACAGACGAGGAGCUUACUCCUCUGACGUUAGCGGCGGACGGGUGAGUAACACGUGGAUAACCUACCUAUAAGGCUGGGAUAACUUCGGGAAACCGGAGCUAAUACCGGAUAACAUGUUGAACCGCAUGGUUCAACAGUGAAAGACGGUCUUGCUGUCACUUAUAGAUGGAUCCGCGUCGCAUUAGCUAGUUGGUAAGGUAACGGCUUACCAAGGCAACGAUGCGUAGCCGACCUGAGAGGGUGAUCGGCCACACUGGAACUGAGACACGGUCCAGACUCCUACGGGAGGCAGCAGUAGGGAAUCUUCCGCAAUGGGCGAAAGCCUGACGGAGCAACGCCGCGUGAGUGAAGAAGGUCUUCGGAUCGUAAAACUCUGUUACUAGGGAAGAACAAAUGUGUAAGUAACUAUGCACGUCUUGACGGUACCUAAUCAGAAAGCCACGGCUAACUACGUG
Molecule: ribosomal RNA, 495 nt
Filed under: uncultured bacterium
Lineage: Bacteria
Description: partial 16S ribosomal RNA
Rfam family: Bacterial small subunit ribosomal RNA
Source: RNAcentral